Molecule: ribosomal RNA, 468 nt
Filed under: uncultured bacterium
Lineage: Bacteria
Description: partial 16S ribosomal RNA
Rfam family: Bacterial small subunit ribosomal RNA
Source: RNAcentral
GACGAACGCUGGCGGCGUGCUUAACACAUGCAAGUCGAACGGAAAGGCCCUGCUUUUGUGGGGUGCUCGAGUGGCGAACGGGUGAGUAACACGUGAGUAACCUGCCCUUGACUUUGGGAUAACUUCAGGAAGCUGGGGUUAAUACCGGAUAGGAGCUCCUGCUGCAUGGUGGGGGUUGGAAAGUUUCGGCGGUUGGGGAUGGACUCGCGGCUUAUCAGCUUGUUGGUGGGGUAGUGGCUUACCAAGGCUUUGACGGGUAGCCGGCCUGAGAGGGUGACCGGCCACAUUGGGACUGAGAUACGGCCCAGACUCCUACGGGAGGCAGCAGUGGGGAAUAUUGCACAAUGGGCGGAAGCCUGAUGCAGCAACGCCGCGUGCGGGAUGACGGCCUUCGGGUUGUAAACCGCUUUCGCCUGUGACGAAGCGUGAGUGACGGUAAUGGGUAAAGAAGCACCGGCUAACUACGUG